Regulatory RNA element from Streptomyces longwoodensis, 62 nucleotides. It matches the Rfam family "Actino-pnp RNA". The record is from Rfam. NCBI's taxonomy places the organism in Bacteria, Bacillati, Actinomycetota, Actinomycetes, Kitasatosporales, Streptomycetaceae.
GCCGGUCCUCGGUAGUGGCCCCCGGGCAACGACAGCCCCGGGUGCUUCGAUCGAAGACCGGC